Long non-coding RNA from Ostrea edulis (European flat oyster), 1241 nucleotides. RefSeq lists it as uncharacterized. The transcript has 3 exons. Lineage: Eukaryota; Metazoa; Mollusca; Bivalvia; Ostreida; Ostreidae. The record is from RefSeq and is a predicted model, not a curated record.
CACAUCAAUACACAGGCAAUUUUGGUUGUUUACCUGAUAUUGUAAUGCACACAAAGGUAUACACAACCAUAAAAAAGAAAAAAGUGAAGAUAACGAUCAGUGAGCAAUCUCAUAACUCCUACAGGGAUAGAAAAGCAAGAGUUGGGCUACCAUGGACCCAUUAAUAUACCAGAGAUGGGAUCAUUUGCCUAGGAAAAGUAAACAUUCCUUGUCUACCAGUGCACCCGUCCUGAGCCCUGUACCCCGAUCAGGUAACGUAGUUACAAUUAGUGUAUAAAGAAUCGCCUAACGUAGGUGUGAGGGAUGACAGACAGUUUUGACCCAUUGAUAGGUUGUAUUGAUAAACUAGAUCGUUAUAAUGUCCAUAUAAUUUGCGAAAUAUUGCGAGACCGUUGAAGCCCCUGUUACAUUAUUUUGUUUGUCAGUCGACUGCCUCGAUUUAAAAACUGAUCAUACACAAAGCAAGUUCUUGCGUAUCGAAUCAAUUCAAAGACAUAAACACCAUAUGCAGGUGAUAAUGGAAUAUUGCUACAUCAAUAUGGAAAGCUGAAAAUGGAGAAGCUGAACUGAUCGUCAUCCCGUUUGUCAUAAGUGACUGGCUGGUUUUAUGUGGAAAAUUCCCAAACCAAGGAACGGAAAUGGAUUAAAUUUCCGGAUAAAGACACGCUCUUUCAAGAUAUUUCGUCCACCAGAACCUAACUCCAUAUACUCACUACUGUCUACACGAUACAGUGAACAUUGCCACAUCCUUAAGUCAUCCGUUGCCAACGCAGUAUAAUGUACUUGUAUGGGGAUCAGUUGACUGAAGUACUUCGUAGCUGACAUUUUCAUUAAAUGCUGAAAGGCUCUACAAUAUAAACUAUAGAAGCACUGGACUCAUGUUCAGCAUGGACUGUGUUCCCUGAGGGAUCAAUGCAUGUGAAUGAACUGAUAUAUUUACACGUGUAGCGACACUUCGCCCAUGCUAACAUUUAAUGGCUGCUUCCCACAAGUAAAGCGCGCCAAUUUUGAAAAAAAUCAUAUUAAGAAUGCAUGUAAAACUUAUACGGUACCAAUUUUGAUGCACCAGAUGCGCAUUUCGACAAAUUAUGUCUCUUCAUACAUUGUUAUGUUCUUUAUAAAUGUUUAUCUGAUGUUUGGAAAUUUAUGAUUCCUUGUUAUGACAGGAAUUCUUUUGUUUUGCCUGUUGUGACAUAGGACCACGUUCUUUCACUUGUAACCCAGAACUUAAAUAAAUGAAA